Molecule: ribosomal RNA, 253 nt
Filed under: uncultured bacterium
Lineage: Bacteria
Description: partial 16S ribosomal RNA
Rfam family: Bacterial small subunit ribosomal RNA
Source: RNAcentral
UACAGAGGGGGCAAGCGUUAUUCGGAAUUAUUGGGCGUAAAGGGCGCGUAGGCGGCUUUUCAAGUGACGGGUGAAAUCCCUCGGCUUAACCGAGGAACUGCCUGUCAGACUGGAAGGCUUGAGACCGGGAGAGGUGAGUGGAAUUCCCAGUGUAGCGGUGAAAUGCGUAGAUAUUGGGAAGAACACCGGAGGCGAAGGCGGGUUGCUGGGCCGACACUGACGCUGAGGCGCGAAAGCCAGGGGAGCAAACGGG